Non-coding RNA from Fusarium redolens, 99 nucleotides. NCBI's taxonomy places the organism in Eukaryota, Fungi, Ascomycota, Sordariomycetes, Hypocreales, Nectriaceae. The record is from the annotation of a RefSeq genome assembly.
GGGCGAAUGGUUUAGUGGUAUAAUACUCCCUUAGCAUGUUCUUUCUUCUGGAAGAUGCGCCUCUGGGAGUGGUCCAGGGUUCGAUUCCCUGUUCGUCCA